Molecule: ribosomal RNA, 342 nt
Filed under: uncultured bacterium
Lineage: Bacteria
Description: bacterial SSU rRNA
Rfam family: Bacterial small subunit ribosomal RNA
Source: RNAcentral
AACAUGUGGGUAUCUACCCUUUGGCCUGGAAUAACACGAGGAAACUUGUGCUAAUACCGGAUAAGUCUUUACGGAGAAAGCUUUAUGCACCAUUGGAUGAGCCCGCACUUGAUUAGUUUGUUGGUAGGGUAAUGGCCUACCAAGACUAUGAUCAAUAGCUGAUUUGAGAGGAUGAUCAGCCACAUUGGGACUGAGACACGGCCCAAACUCCUACGGGAGGCAGCAGUGGGGAAUCUUGCACAAUGGAGGAAACUCUGAUGCAGCGAUGCCGCGUGAGUGAAGAAGGCCCUUGGGUUGUAAAGCUCUUUCGUCGGGGAAGAAAAUGACUGUACCCGAAUAAGA